GAUUGACCUCGGAUCAGGUAGGGAUACCCGCUGAACUUAAGCAU
RNAcentral lists this ribosomal RNA (44 nucleotides) under Cistella sp. Its description in RNAcentral is "partial 28S ribosomal RNA". Lineage: Eukaryota; Fungi; Ascomycota; Leotiomycetes; Helotiales. The record is from RNAcentral. RNAcentral also lists the same sequence under 1 other name.